This 381-nucleotide ribosomal RNA is filed under the name uncultured bacterium. Its description in RNAcentral is "bacterial SSU rRNA". It matches the Rfam family "Bacterial small subunit ribosomal RNA", at positions 30 to 416 of the family's 1533-position model. The record is from RNAcentral.
AUUGAACGCUGGCGGAAUGCUUUACACAUGCAAGUCGAACGGUAGAGGGGGCAACCCCUUGAGAGUGGCGAACGGGUGAGUAAUAUAUCGGAACGUGCCCAGUCGUGGGGAUAACGUAGCGAAAGUUACGCUAAUACCGCAUACGAUCUAAGGAUGAAAGCGGGGGAUCGCAAGACCUCGCGCGAUUGGAGCGGCCGAUAUCAGAUUAGGUAGUUGGUGAGGUAAAGGCUCACCAAGCCGACGAUCUGUAGCUGGUCUGAGAGGACGACCAGCCACACUGGGACUGAGACACGGCCCAGACUCCUACGGGAGGCAGCAGUGGGGAAUUUUGGACAAUGGGCGCAAGCCUGAUCCAGCAAUGCCGCGUGCAGGAUGAAGGCC